Spea bombifrons (plains spadefoot toad) is the source of this 1170-nucleotide long non-coding RNA. RefSeq lists it as uncharacterized. The record is from RefSeq and is a predicted model, not a curated record. The transcript is spliced from 2 exons. Lineage: Eukaryota; Metazoa; Chordata; Amphibia; Anura; Pelobatidae.
UUUCUUUCUUGGUAAACCUAGAUAUCUAUUCAAUGGAUUUUGAAACCUCACAUUUGGAUGUGGCCCCCGCGUUGUAAUUGGAGAGCACAUUGGGCAUCCGGUGUUAAGAGUACAUUCCGUUUGGGCAAAUGAAGGCCCCGAUGUAUCUAAUUCUUACAUUUUGAAAACCCAUAUAACUAUGAAAUCUAGUAAAUCUAUCCAUGUCAGUGUAUACUUCUACAUUAACAUCGGGAAUCAACCCAACCCAACGCUAUCAUUGUUUCUGGUUUAUUAGACUCUUCUGAUCAUGUUGGGAGACAUCAUGAGGUUGAUUCACAGACCUCCAGGUUUUAUCCGGCAUUUUGGAUACAAGGUCCUUGUGAGGAAUCGUGCCAUGUCCUCCUAAUUGGGAAUAUUCUCGGCCCCAUCACUAGAGAGGUGGUUAGUUGCUAUCAGAUCUUUCUACAGAGCGGGCCGAGGACACAUAGGGCUCGCUGCUACAACAGUGCUGAGAAACGGAGGUCAGGGAGGGACGUUUGCAUGGCUAAGCCUAAACUCCUAUGUGCAUGCGUAUCCAAGGCAUCAGGAACAAUUGUGUCCGGUUCAUUUUUAUUUACUACACAAAUUAAUGGGUUUUGUGUACAGAAAGCAACUUUGGUUUCCCUUUGUUUGAUUCGUUGAUUUCAGUUUAUAACGUAAAAAUGGUUGAAUUGCCUGAAGAUGCGGGAGACUCCGCCGUCGGCCUCCUUCAUGCUGCUUUGUGUCUCUUGUAGAAAUGGUUAUUGUAUUCCUUUGGCUGUUAAGACAUUCAAGUAUGUGCUAGAGAGCUCUAUGGGGCUCGUACUGAUCCAUCGGCAAAGGUUCCGAGUCUGUACAUAUUUUAUAGAAAUACUGGGGGAACAUAAUAGAGCCACGGAAAUGUGUAUCUCUGUAUUAAGUCACUUAAUAUAUUAUUUCAUUGACGCGAUUCUUUUUACUUUGAUCUUCUCUUGGUCGUCCAAACCAUGUCUGUCGCCGACCAAAGUGACUCAUGCAUAAACUCUUGUUCCGUUUUGUUUUUAAUUUUUAUUACUUUAUUGUUUAUUGUACAAAAUGUUUAUUUGAAUGCAUGGAGUCCUACACUGUUAUUUCAGACUGUGUAUUACUCCGGUUUUUACCACUUGACAUGAAAUAAACUUACAAAUUAAAAUA